RNAcentral lists this non-coding RNA (2746 nucleotides) under Pan troglodytes (chimpanzee). Lineage: Eukaryota; Metazoa; Chordata; Mammalia; Primates; Hominidae. The record is from RNAcentral.
GACCUGGGUAGGGGGUCCGGGUUCAGUGGUAAUAGCGGCGGAGAUGGGGGAGCGCCCGCUUGACACUUCCCGAUCCGGGCCGAGGCGACUGGAAGAAGCCGUAGUACGCAGGAGCAAGGGCCGAGAGGCGAGCGCCGAACGCUAUCAGGAGUGGCUAGCCGAUUGUCGAGCUCGGGAAACUGCGUGUUUACGUAGGGUAAGAAGAACGCUAUCCCGGAGGCUUCCUACUUGGCCGUGGUAACUAAGUCUUUUCUGCGUGCCCCUGCGGGCGUAGGGCUGGGGCUGGCCCGCGUCAGUGUGUUUGAAAAGGUAAAGGCUUGUAGUUUUGUAGUUUAUUUUGCGCCGUGGCGGCUGCUGUGUGUAAGCAGCAGCCUACCUAUGAGGUUUUCAUCGUCCUGGGCUUCCACUUGAGAGAACUCCAGCACCGCGGGUGAAGAAGCCGCACCUGCGGCCUCCGUGACUGCCCUUGAGCUGCUCUUCCUUACUCCGGAUGGAAAUCUAGUCAGACUGCGUCUGAACGUUGCAAAUGAAAUGAGGAACCUUGUAACAAAAACAAGUCGCGGCCGGGCGCGGUGGCUCACGCCUGUAAUCCCAGCACUUUGGGAGGCCGAGCCAGGCGGAUCACCUGAGGUCGGAGUUCGAGACCAGCCUGACCAACAAGGAGAAACCCCGUCUCUACUAAACAUACAAAAUUAGCCGGGCGCGGUGGCUCAUGCCUGUAAUGUAAUCCCAGCUACUCGGGAAGCUGAGGCAGGAGAAUCGCUUGAACCUGGGAGGCGGAGGUUGCGGUGAGCCGAGAUCGCGCCAUUGCACUCCAGCCUGGGCAACAAGAGCGGAAACUCCGUCUCAAAAACAACAACAACAACAACAACAACAAAAACCAAGUCGCAUCUUUCAGAUCCUAAAGCACCACGUCGUCGGAAAACAUUCAAAUGGUUGCCCGUUUGCUUGUGUGAAUUUUUCUUUUCCUUAAACUAUCAGGAGAAUCUCUAUUCUCCUGCAUUUAAUUAAUGCUGGGAUCACUUCAGCCACUUUAACCAGAAAUCGGCGAUAUCUAGACACCGCUUCUCUGGGGACACUUUGACAACGUGACAAAAGACAUUGCCAGUCUAAUGAUGGGGGUGGGGUGGAGGAGACGAAAGUUCAGAUUCAGAUUUGCAUACUGAAAUCCUUAAUUGCACACAACUCGGCCCGCUUUAUUAGAGUUCGGGCGGAAGUGCGACACCGAGUCCUCCAAGGCUAACUGGAGGGUUAAAUUAUACGGUUACUAAUCCGCCGUGCUUGUCAAGGGCCUAAAGGGACUCUGCCCCUUUCUGCUGCAGUGCCAUCUGCUGGCUGCAGCCUGCUUGGUUACCCAGAGGGAAAACUGCCAAAGCAUCCUCUGGAAGCUGGCCUGGAAAGACAAGCCAAAGUCUAGUGCAGGACAGAUGCCUUGAGGAAAUAUACAUAUAUGCAGAAAGAAAAAAAAAAAAAAAGACGGCGUAUAUACGGGACAAAACCUAGGACAAGGCCAGGCAGCCACUCAGAUUAUAUAUAUGUUUGCACAUUCACACACAGACAAAUUCCCCUGCCCAAAAGAACUGUUCAGGACCACUCAAAAACAAAACAGAACAAAAGCUCUAUUGUUUAGGCCUUCGAAUCCUUCAUCAACCAUUGUCUAAAACAGCAGCAGCUGGCCGGGCGCGGCUCCCGCCUGUAAUCCCAGCACUUUGGGAGGCCGAGGCAGGCGGAUUACCUGAGGUCAGGAGUUCAAGACCACCCUGACCACAUGGUGAAACCCCGUCUCUACUUAAAAAAAAAAAGAAAGAAAGAAAAAAAGAAAUACAGAAAUUAGCCUGGCAUGGUGGCGUGCGCCUGUAAUCCCAGCUACUCGGAAGGCAGAGGCAGGAGAAUAGCUUGAACCCGGGAGGGAGAGGUUGCAGUGAGCCGAGACAGCACCACUGCCCUCCAGCCUGGGCGACAGAGCGAGACGCCAUUUCAAAUAAUAAUAAUAACUGCCCCUCUUUGGCCGGGCGCGGUUGCUCACGCCUGUAAUUCCAGCACUUUGGGAGGCCGAGGUGGGCGGAUCACCUGAGGUCGGGAGUUCGAGACCAGCCUGACCAACAUGGAGAAACCCCGUCUCUACUAAAAAUACAAAAGUAGCCGGGCAUGGUGGCACAUGCCUGUAAUCCCAGCUACUUGGGAGGCUGAGGCAGGAGAAUCGCUUGAACUGGGGAGGCAGAGGUUGCGGUGAGCUGAGAUACUGCCAUAGCACGCUAGCCUGGGCAACAGAGUGAAACUCUGUCUCAAAAAAAACAAAGAAAAGAAAAAAAAUUGCCCCUCUUGUAAUCCUACAGCCAUCACCUUAGUAAUUUUGCUAUAUUGGUAGUCUUUAAGUAUCAAUUAUGUCCUCACAACAAUGAAAACUUACAUUUUUAUAACAUUUUGACAUUUUCAAAACAAACACACCUUGUCAUAUGAUCUUAUUUAACCCUCACAACUGCCUGAUUACCCCUGUUUUAGAAAUAAACCAAGGUUUAGGGUAAGGACUGCCAAGUAUUACACUGGCACAAUAAUUCCAGCCUUCUGAAAUCAGGACUAGAAAAUUUUCCUCCAUACCACACUGGUGUUUCCUUGGACAGCUACCACUACCUACUGAAUAAUGCCUAAGUCCUUAGCCUGCUACUCAAGGCCUUCCAAUAGUAUUUUCCACUGUUCCCUAUAUGGGCUUUAAGCUUUGUCUAUAAAGACUAUGUUCUUCAGUUAC